Molecule: ribosomal RNA, 449 nt
Filed under: uncultured bacterium
Lineage: Bacteria
Description: partial 16S ribosomal RNA
Rfam family: Bacterial small subunit ribosomal RNA
Source: RNAcentral
AACGAACGCUGGCGGCAUGCCUAACACAUGCAAGUCGAACGAAGCCUUCGGGCUUAGUGGCGCACGGGUGCGUAACGCGUGGGAAUCUGCCCUUGGGUUCGGAAUAACAGUUAGAAAUGACUGCUAAUACCGGAUGAUGUCUUCGGACCAAAGAUUUAUCGCCCAAGGAUGAGCCCGCGUAGGAUUAGGUAGUUGGUGGGGUAAUGGCCCACCAAGCCGACGAUCCUUAGCUGGUCUGAGAGGAUGAGCAGCCACACUGGGACUGAGACACGGCCCAGACGCCUACGGGAGGCAGCAGGGGGGCAUAUUGGACAAUGGGCGAAAGCCUGAUCCAGCAAUGCCGCGUGAGUGAUGAAGGCCUUAGGGUUGUAAAGCUCUUUUACCAGGGAUGAUAAUGACAGUACCUGGAGAAUAAGCUCCGGCUAACUCCGUGCCAGCCGCCGCAGUAA